GACGAACCGAGCGAACGUUGUUCGGAAUCACUGGGCUUAAAGGGCGCGUAGGCGGGCGAUCAAGUCAGGGGUGAAAGCCCCCAGCUCAACUGGGGAAGUGCCUCUGAUACUGAUCGUCUCGAGGGGGAUAGGGGCGUGCGGAACUUCCGGUGGAGCGGUGAAAUGCGUAGAUAUCGGAAAGAACACCAACGGCGAAAGCACUCUGCUGGGCCGACACUGACACUGAGAGACGAAAGCUAGGGGAGCAAAUGGG
Molecule: ribosomal RNA, 253 nt
Filed under: uncultured bacterium
Lineage: Bacteria
Description: partial 16S ribosomal RNA
Rfam family: Bacterial small subunit ribosomal RNA
Source: RNAcentral